AGGGAGGAGUUUUUGGGGGUGGUUUGGGGGGUGUUGUUUUGUUUUUGUUCCAGUGUUUGUUGUUUAUCCUGGGCUGGUCCAGAACUGACAACAACCACCUUCCCUCAGCCUCCAGAAUGCAGACACACCACACACAGCCAGCAGUGGGUCAGCGUGGGCAGGACAGGAUCUACAGAUGGCUACAAUGAGCACAGCAGUCACCCGGUGAGACAGCAGAGUUGGGCAAGGCACCUGUGAAGUUCAAGGCAGAAGUCUAGGAAUCUCUCAGACAUAAGGUUCCGGGGUCCCCUGGAAUCCUCUGUAGCUGUCUUCCCAAGUGAGGCUGGCCCAGCCACUUCCAGCUGGGUAGCUCAAUAUAAACUUCUGGGGAGUCCACACAGAGGAGAAAUGCUGGCGCACAGGUCUCUGGAGCAGCUGACACCUGGCUCCCAGGAAUCUGAGCCCAGCCACUCAUCUCACAGCACAGCACACAUGUCUCUCCCCUGCCUGCCUACCCUCCACUACUGUUCAGUGUCCAGGGAGCUCAGACACUGGCCCCAUUUCUUUCACACCCAUGCAUUCUUCCAGGCCUGGGCUUGCACAAUCCCCUCUGCCUGCAUUAUUUCUUCACCACCCAGCCUUUCCAGCCUGCUCCAAAGGACAGUCUCUGACUCCCAGGUCACAGUUGGAUCACGUGCUUCCUCUCAACCCGACCCAGACAAGGCCAGGGUCUGAUUCCCCUGUGUCUCAAAGGUAGCACAUAGUAAACAGCUGAUAACUGGGUGGGCAUUUCCUGGUUGACACAUGAAGCAGGAACUGCAGGUCAGCGAGCGGCUUUCCGGGCAUGGGGACUUUUUAUUCUACUGCACCUGAUACAAUUCUACCUCCUGCCCUGACUUACCAGCACUACCGGAGCCCUAACCACUCUCUCCUAACACACCGAGCAGUGCCUCACCAAACUCUUCCCAUUUCCAGAAGAGAGUGCCCUCGGUGGCUGGAAGAAGGCAUUAGAUCCCCUGGAACUGUUAGAGACAGUUGUGAGCUGCCAUUUGAGUGCUGGAAAUUGGACCUGAAUCUUCUGGAAAAGCAGCCUGUGCUCUAAGUCACUGAGCCAUCUCUCCAGACCUGAAAAUGUGGGUUUUCAGGCCACAGGAAGUGUCCUGGUCAGGUCCCUGGAUGUUCAGACUCCCUAGGCUGACCACUACCACUGAUCGAGCCCGAGACUGUCCCAUUGGUUUCUCUCUGGUGCUGUCCACAUAUGGGACAGGUAGACCUAGGAAGAGGAGGAAAAAUAUGUCUGGAGAGAUGGAUGCCAGUGGGGGAGACCCUGGCUCCUAGGAGGCUACAGAACAAGAACAUUUCAGCCUUAAAGUGUCCUGUCCUGGGUAUGCAGCCACCUACUGCAGCCUGGUCUGGCCAGACAAGACUCCGGUGGGGUCCUGGGCCACUAAGAUUCCAGAAACUCCGGCUCUCUACCCUCAGAUGAUGACGGAGGAAUGGCCCUGAGAGGUCUUCACAAAACAAAAUGAGGUCUGCACCUGUCCACGCCUGUCUCUGGGUUCUGCUGAAUUUCUUCUACCCUAUAAUGACGCUGCUAGGAGCCUAGGCUUCCCUUAGCAGGACAGUCACAACUUUCCAAGUACAGGUUAUCAGGGUCCCCUGGACCCAACAGUAGUCAAAUCCUUACCUGAGCAUCCCCAAGUCUAACCCUGAAUCCCGAACCCCCAGUCUAGGCAUUAGGGAAGCUUUCCCUAAGACACUGAAUUUAGAGAAACAUAAGUCAGACAACCUGGCUCCUAAUCACCCAGCACCCAAAUCUACCCACGGAGAUCUGUGUCCAAACACCUACCCGCCUCCUCCCCAAAAGCCCCCAUCCCCCGCUGCACUGCAAACCUGCUCUAAGCCCAUCCACCCAUUCCCAGCCUGACCCCAUUCAACGAACACACCCCUUCUUUCCUGGCAACUGGGCCAGGUAAGCUCUAGAGAAACCAUGCCCCCAUUAACUGGUGGGGAAUUGAGGUGCGGAGGACGGAAGUAGCUUGCCCAAGGUUACCAACACCUCAGGUCCAGGGCUAAAGUCCUAAAGCUUUGCGAGGCUGUACCAAAGCCUCAGGUCCACGGCUAAAGUCCUAAAGCUUUGCGAGGCUGUAAGAAUGUCCGGGGUAGACUAGGUAGAAGUCUUCAUUUCUCAAGUGGGAAAGCCAAGCUGCCUGACGCUACUGGCUCCGGAGCCUGCAAGCCCUAAAGCAGAAGAGCUGACGGCUGAAAGCUGGUGUCCACCAGCUCACUUUCUCUGUCCCUACGAGUCUGGCUAGAUGACUUCACCUCCAGAGGCGACCCCACUUCACUUCAUCCCCAGGCAAGAGCGCGCACCAGAUGACCCCGGGAAAAUUGAGCGGGUGGGGGUGGGGGGCUCACCAUUCCCUUCUGAGGAAUGGGGGCAGUGCAAGCCACAACUGGCGAUUGGGAGGUCCCAGCAACCUCACUGACCUGUUUUGAGCGAAGAGAACUCCACGAGGUGGGACUCGGGGUCCCGGUACCGUCUGUCACACGCGGCCGCAGCCAACUCGCGGCAGCGGUCCGGGCGCGCCCACCUCGCUCGGCGCUUCCGCCCGCCCCACGUGACACCGGGGGACGUGAGGGCGGGGAACGGGCAGGGAGCCGGCCGGUCCCGCCCCCAGCCUAGUCCGGAUCUUCAAUACCCUAGGCAGACCGGACCGCCGGGUUUGUGUCUCUCCUUUAUCCUUAGCUUGCUAAGGCUUUGAGGCUCAUGUCUAGUCUAUCCUGUCCCUGCUGAGACUCCACGGAUCCUUGAGUCUCCAUGCCUCGACACCCCUGUUCUGGACUGCAUCUCCCUGCAGAAGGCGCUGGGAAAGGCCCACCAGAGUCUGGCAGCUUCUCACCUCCUCCCCAGAGAGAUGAAAUCCCUAGACUUGGCAGGAACAGUGGGCAUAUUUGGAAGAACAGUCAUCAGCAGGGUGGGUCAAGGGGCUUUUGCCCUGAAAGGAGGAAGAUGCCCUUUAAUCAGAGCCUAUUACAUGCCUGGUCCAGUGGUGAACAAUUUGUUCUGAUUAAUUAAAAAAAAAAAAAAACUCACACUUGCAUAAGGGUAAAAAUUAUCACCCUAGGUUAUAGGUUAGGAAAUGAGAGUCUGACAUUCUCAGGGUGUUCUCAAAGCCAUUAUGGGCAGACCUAGGGCUGGAUGUUCCAGGUGACAGGGUCCUGUCCAGGCCUCUCCACAGAAACUGUUCUCUGGGAAACACUUGACUGUUAGCCCAGUAAGGUUUUCCACUGGCAGGGCUUUCCAGGAGAGGUGAAUAGGGUCAGAUCUUGAGUUCUUUCCAGACCCCAAGUUCUUGUGGUGCCAAAAAUACCAGAGAAAAGCAGGGCCUAAGACUAACUCUGGGACUCGGCAUCCCUUGGACAGCAGAGGCAGCCCAGGCUUCCCUCUAGAUCUCAGAGCAGCUAGGCAUAAGUGAGGGUUGACACUUGGUCAGGGGACCUCACGAUUCCUGUGACCAGCCUAAGGUCUUUAACACUAAGUGCAGUGGAAGUGUCUUCACCAGUACCCACCCCUCCC
Mus musculus (house mouse) is the source of this 3559-nucleotide long non-coding RNA. RefSeq annotates it as predicted gene, 35219. Lineage: Eukaryota; Metazoa; Chordata; Mammalia; Rodentia; Muridae. The transcript has 6 exons. The record is from RefSeq and is a predicted model, not a curated record.